RNAcentral lists this ribosomal RNA (1300 nucleotides) under metagenome. Its description in RNAcentral is "bacterial LSU rRNA". It matches the Rfam family "Bacterial large subunit ribosomal RNA", at positions 1634 to 2925 of the family's 2925-position model. The record is from RNAcentral.
CUACACGACCGUACCGCAAACCGACACUGGUGCGCGAGAUGAGUAUUCUAAGGCGCUUGAGAGAACUCAGGAGAAGGAACUCGGCAAAUUGACACCGUAACUUCGGAAGAAGGUGUGCCUUUAGUAGGUGAACCUGUACAAGGGGAGCCCAAUGAGGUUGCAAAAAAUCGGUGGCUGCGACUGUUUAAUAAAAACACAGCACUCUGCAAACACGAAAGUGGACGUAUAGGGUGUGACGCCUGCCCGGUGCUGGAAGAUUAAAUGAUGGGGUGCAAGCUCUUGAUUGAAGUCCCAGUAAACGGCGGCCGUAACAAUAACGGUCCUAAGGUAGCGAAAUUCCUUGUCGGGUAAGUUCCGACCUGCACGAAUGGCGUAACGAUGGCCACACUGUCUCCUCCUGAGACUCAGCGAAGUUGAAAUGUUUGUGAUGAUGCAAUCUCCCCGCGGAAAGACGGAAAGACCCCAUGAACCUUUACUGUAGCUUUGUAUUGGACUUUGAACAGAUCUGUGUAGGAUAGGUGGGAGGCUUUGAAGUGUGGUCGCUAGAUCGCAUGGAGCCAACGUUGAAAUACCACCCUGGUGUGUUUGAGGUUCUAACCUAGGCCCGUAAUCCGGGUCGGGGACAGUGCAUGGUAGGCAGUUUGACUGGGGCGGUCUCCUCCCAAAGCGUAACGGAGGAGUUCGAAGGUACGCUAGGUACGGUCGGACAUCGUGCUAAUAGUGCAAUGGCAUAAGCGUGCUUAACUGCGAGACUGACAAGUCGAGCAGAUGCGAAAGCAGGACAUAGUGAUCCGGUGGUUCUGUAUGGAAGGGCCAUCGCUCAACGGAUAAAAGGUACUCUGGGGAUAACAGGCUGAUACCACCCAAGAGUUCAUAUCGACGGCGGUGUUUGGCACCUCGAUGUCGGCUCAUCUCAUCCUGGGGCUGUAGCCGGUCCCAAGGGUAUGGCUGUUCGCCAUUUAAAGAGGUACGUGAGCUGGGCUUAAAACGUCGUGAGACAGUUUGGUCCCUAUCUUCCGUGGGCGCUGCAGAUUUGAGGAAGCCUGCUCCUAGUACGAGAGGACCGGAGUGGACACACCUCUGGUGUAUCGGUUGUCACGCCAGUGGCAUUGCCGAGUAGCUACGUGUGGAAGAGAUAACCGCUGAAAGCAUCUAAGCGGGAAACUCGUUUCAAGAUGAGAUCUGCCGGGGCCUUGAGCCCCCUAAAGAGUCGUUCAAGACCAGGACGUUGAUAGGUCGGGUGUGGAAGCGCAGUAAUGCGUUAAGCUAACCGAUACUAAUUGCUCGUGCGGCUUGAUCA